RNAcentral lists this ribosomal RNA (167 nucleotides) under Erucastrum griquense. RNAcentral describes it as "5.8S ribosomal RNA". It matches the Rfam family "5.8S ribosomal RNA". From Rfam's summary of the family: 5.8S ribosomal RNA (5.8S rRNA) is a component of the large subunit of the eukaryotic ribosome. It is transcribed by RNA polymerase I as part of the 45S precursor that also contains 18S and 28S rRNA. Functionally, it is thought that 5.8S rRNA may be involved in ribosome translocation. Lineage: Eukaryota; Viridiplantae; Streptophyta; Magnoliopsida; Brassicales; Brassicaceae. The record is from RNAcentral.
AAAACGACUCUCGGCAACGGAUAUCUCGGCUCUCGCAUCGAUGAAGAACGUAGCGAAAUGCGAUACUUGGUGUGAAUUGCAGAAUCCCGUGAACCAUCGAGUUUUUGAACGCAAGUUGCGCCCCAAGCCUUCUGGCCGAGGGCACGUCUGCCUGGGUGUCACAAAUC